GAUGAACGCUGGCGGCGUGCCUAACACAUGCAAGUCGAGCGGCAGCGACGGGUGCUUGCACCCUGUCGGCGAGCGGCGGACGGCUGAGUAACGCGUGGGAACGUGCCCCAACGUUGGGAAUAACUGCCCGAAAGGGGAGCUAAUACCGCAUAUUAUCUUCGGAUCAAAGGAUUUAUCCGCUUUGGGCGCGGCUCGCGGCCGAUUAGGUAGUUGGUGAGGUAAUGGCUCACCGAGCCGACGACCCGUAGCUGGUCUGAGAGGAUGACCAGCCAGACUUGAACUGAGACACGGUCCAGACUGCUACGGGAGGCAGCAGUGAGGAAUCUUCCACAAUGGGCGAAAGCCUGAUGGAGCAACGCCGCGUGCAGGACGAAGGCCUUCGGGUUGUAAACUGCUUUUAUAAGUGAGGAAUAUGACGGUAACUUAUGAAUAAGGAUCGGCUAACUACGUG
This 451-nucleotide ribosomal RNA is filed under the name uncultured bacterium. RNAcentral describes it as "partial 16S ribosomal RNA". It matches the Rfam family "Bacterial small subunit ribosomal RNA", at positions 28 to 507 of the family's 1533-position model. The record is from RNAcentral.